This 244-nucleotide ribosomal RNA is filed under the name Escherichia coli. Its description in RNAcentral is "partial 16S ribosomal RNA". It matches the Rfam family "Bacterial small subunit ribosomal RNA", at positions 1 to 242 of the family's 1533-position model. RNAcentral also lists the same sequence under 1 other name. Lineage: Bacteria; Pseudomonadati; Pseudomonadota; Gammaproteobacteria; Enterobacterales; Enterobacteriaceae. The record is from RNAcentral.
AAAUUGAAGAGUUUGAUCAUGGCUCAGAUUGAACGCUGGCGGCAGGCCUAACACAUGCAAGUCGAACGGUAACAGGAAGCGCUUGCUGCUUCGCUGACGAGUGGCGGACGGGUGAGUAAUGUCUGGGAAACUGCCUGAUGGAGGGGGAUAACUACUGGAAACGGUAGCUAAUACCGCAUAACGUCGCAAGACCAAAGAGGGGGACCUUCGGGCCUCUUGCCAUCGGAUGUGCCCAGAUGGGAUU